CCUGGGGAGUACGGCCGCAAGGUUAAAACUCAAAUGAAUUGACGGGGGCCCGCACAAGCGGUGGAGCAUGUGGUUUAAUUCGAUGCAACGCGAAGAACCUUACCUGGUCUUGACAUCCACAGAACUUAGCAGAGAUGCUUUGGUGCCUUCGGGAACUGUGAGACAGGUGCUGCAUGGCUGUCGUCAGCUCGUGUUGUGAAAUGUUGGGUUAAGUCCCGCAACGAGCGCAACCCUUAUCCUUUGUUGCCAGCGGUCCGGCCGGGAAC
This 266-nucleotide ribosomal RNA is filed under the name Klebsiella pneumoniae. RNAcentral describes it as "partial 16S ribosomal RNA". It matches the Rfam family "Bacterial small subunit ribosomal RNA", at positions 872 to 1138 of the family's 1533-position model. RNAcentral also lists the same sequence under 1 other name. The record is from RNAcentral. Lineage: Bacteria; Pseudomonadati; Pseudomonadota; Gammaproteobacteria; Enterobacterales; Enterobacteriaceae.